Pteropus alecto (black flying fox) is the source of this 116-nucleotide non-coding RNA. The record is from Rfam. Lineage: Eukaryota; Metazoa; Chordata; Mammalia; Chiroptera; Pteropodidae.
GUCUACAGCCAUGCCACCCUGAACAAGCCCUAUGUCUGAUCUCGGAAGCUAAGGAGGGUAGGGCCUGGUUAGUACUUGGAUGGGAGACCACCUAGGAAGACCAGAUGCUGUAGGCA